This 272-nucleotide long non-coding RNA is filed under the name Vulpes vulpes (red fox). RNAcentral's name for it is "lncRNA (ENSVVUG00000018971.1)". The record is from RNAcentral. Lineage: Eukaryota; Metazoa; Chordata; Mammalia; Carnivora; Canidae.
GAGUGGAGCAACUAUUAAUUAAUUGCCAAUUUUUUGAAUUAUAUUGGAAUUCUAAGAAUGAAUUUGUUUAUCUUUAUAGGAUAUCUAAAGUGUCCAGGUACUUAAAAUCACCAAUUGGACUGAACAGAUGUACCUCAGGAAUUAAAAAUUUUUCCAGAGGGAGUUGCCUAAUAGGGCACCCAUAAAGGAGGAAAAAUUCACAAAAUGCAUUCCUUGGAUACUGAUUAAAAUCUGUUCCAAAUCUAUGAAGGCUGAAGACAUACAUAGUGGUA